CCUACGGGAGGCAGCAGUGAGGAAUAUUGGUCAAUGGCCGGAAGGCUGAACCAGCCAUGCCGCGUGAAGGUCAGUGCCCUAUGGGCGUUAAACUUCUUUUGUGCGGGAGCAAUAAUGGUCACGUGUGGCCAGACGAGAGUACCGUACGAAUAAGCAUCGGCUAACUCCGUGCCAGCAGCCGCGGUAAUACGGGGGAUGCAAGCGUUAUCCGGAUUUAUUGGGUUUAAAGGGUGCGUAGGCUGUGAGGUAAGUCAGCGGUGAAAUGCCCCCGCUCAACGGGGUGAAGUGCCAUUGAUACUGCCUGGCUGGAAUGCGGAUGACGUGGGAGGAAUGUGUGGUGUAGCGGUGAAAUGCAUAGAUAUCACACAGAACACCGAUUGCGAAGGCAUCUCACGAAUCCGCGAUUGACGCUGAUGCACGAAAGCGUGGGUAUCAAACAGGAUUAGAUACCCUUGUAGUC
This 460-nucleotide ribosomal RNA is filed under the name uncultured bacterium. RNAcentral's name for it is "partial 16S ribosomal RNA". It matches the Rfam family "Bacterial small subunit ribosomal RNA", at positions 338 to 795 of the family's 1533-position model. The record is from RNAcentral.